AUUGAACGCUGGCGGCAGGCUUAACACAUGCAAGUCGAGCGAGCGGCGGACGGGUGAGUAAUGUCUGGGAAACUGCCUGAUGGAGGGGGAUAACUACUGGAAACGGUAGCUAAUACCGCAUACCAUCAGAUGUGCCCAGAUGGGAUUAGCUAGUAGGUGGGGUAAUGGCUCACCUAGGCGACGAUCCCUAGCUGGUCUGAGAGGAUGACCAGCCAAACUGGAACUGGGAAAAGGUUCAGACUCCCACGGGAGGCAGCAGGGGGGGAUAUUGCAACAUGGGGGCAAGCCUGAUUCAGCCAUGCCGCGUGUGUGAAGAAGGCCUUCGGGUUGUAAAGCACUUUCAGCGAGGAGGCGUUACUCGCAGAAGAAGCACCGGCUAACUCCGUGCCAGCAGCCGCGGUAAUUC
This 406-nucleotide ribosomal RNA is filed under the name uncultured bacterium. RNAcentral's name for it is "partial 16S ribosomal RNA". It matches the Rfam family "Bacterial small subunit ribosomal RNA", at positions 30 to 526 of the family's 1533-position model. The record is from RNAcentral.